Molecule: ribosomal RNA, 275 nt
Filed under: uncultured prokaryote
Description: partial 16S ribosomal RNA
Rfam family: Bacterial small subunit ribosomal RNA
Source: RNAcentral
UACGUAGGGUGCGAGCGUUGUCCGGAAUUACUAGGCGUAAAGGGCAGGCAGGCGGAUCCAUAAGUUUAUCGUUUAAGGCGUCGGCUUAACCGGCGUAGGGCGGUAGAUACUGUGGAUCUGGAAUGCGGUUGGGGAAGACAGAAUUCCAUGUGUAGCGGUGGAAUGCGCAGAGAUCAGGAGGAAUACCGAAGGCGAAGGCAGUCUUCCAAGCCGUUAUUGACGCUCAACUGCGAAGGUGUGGGUAUCAAACAGGAUUAGAUACCCCUGUAGUCCCU